This 207-nucleotide ribosomal RNA is filed under the name uncultured bacterium. Its description in RNAcentral is "partial 16S ribosomal RNA". It matches the Rfam family "Bacterial small subunit ribosomal RNA", at positions 568 to 774 of the family's 1533-position model. The record is from RNAcentral.
CGUCUAGGCGGAUCGGUAAGUCGGCUGUGAAACCCCUCGGCUCAACCGAGGAAGUGCAGCCGAAACUGCCAGUCUUGAGGGCGAGAGGGGAGAGUGGAACUCCUGGUGGAGCGGUGAAAUGCGUAGAUAUCAGGAGGAACGCCGGUGGCGAAAGCGACUCUCUGGCUCGUCCCUGACGCUGAAGCGCGAAAGCUAGGGGAGCGAACG